AAAUUGAAGAGUUUGAUCAUGGCUCAGAUUGAACGCUGGCGGCAGGCCUAACACAUGCAAGUCGAACGGUAACAGGAAGAAGCUUGCUUCUUUGCUGACGAGUGGCGGACGGGUGAGUAAUGUCUGGGAAACUGCCUGAUGGAGGGGGAUAACUACUGGAAACGGUAGCUAAUACCGCAUAACGUCGCAAGACCAAAGAGGGGGACCUUCGGGCCUCUUGCCAUCGGAUGUGCCCAGAUGGGAUU
Molecule: ribosomal RNA, 245 nt
Filed under: Escherichia coli
Lineage: Bacteria; Pseudomonadati; Pseudomonadota; Gammaproteobacteria; Enterobacterales; Enterobacteriaceae
Description: partial 16S ribosomal RNA
Rfam family: Bacterial small subunit ribosomal RNA
Source: RNAcentral